This 967-nucleotide long non-coding RNA is filed under the name Cicer arietinum (chickpea). RNAcentral's name for it is "long non-coding RNA (CARI_LNC002956)". The record is from RNAcentral. Lineage: Eukaryota; Viridiplantae; Streptophyta; Magnoliopsida; Fabales; Fabaceae.
UAAGCUCUUGUUACCAAGUUUUAAACAGUUUUACCUCUCGACCUCGUAUAUUGCUCUACAAAUGACCCAUCUAUUAAAUUAAUUGCAUCCUUCCUAGCCCUAUAUGCAGACAUCCUACUAACUCCGACAUUCCAUUUCUCAUGAACCUUAUUACAAAUUUCUGAUAACUUUAUAUUGGGAUUCUCUUUUAUAGAUGUAAUUAAUAUUUUCCCUAACCAAAUUGCUCUUAUUAACUUCACCCUAUACUCUCUACUACAUGUGUGUUAUUCAAAUUCUUUAAUUGCCAUAUAUCCUCAUUGGGGUAGUUUGGAACAUAAAGCAACCUAUGGACAACCAUCCUUACAACUGAAUCAUACUCCAAUCUUGUCAUUCUUUAAAAUAUAAUGUAUUUUCCACUAUGGAUAGCAUAAGUAUUAAAAGUGUCCUAAAAUGCAUCCCGUGUAAUAUUGAUGGAGUUAUUUUUAGCUACCCUAGUUCCGCUACUUGUGGAGAUACAUUUAGGGACAAGACGGUUGUUACCCUAGGUUGUUUUGCAGUGAAUUUGAGGAUUACAACGUUGCUACAUGUUGAGCUUAUUGGAGUUAUGGUUGCUAUUGAAAUAGCCUACUAGAAUGGGUGGCUUUCAUUAUGGAUUCAAUUUAAUUCUCAAUUGACAAAUUUGACUUUCAAGAAUAAUAGUCUUGUUCUUUGGUUUUUUAGAAAUAUAUUGGUUGCCUGCCUUGAGUUGCUAAUUAAGGACUUCCCAUUGCUAAUAGUCAUUGGUGGGAUAUUUUUCCUCCUAGUAUUUCUGAUGUUUUCAAUAGAAAUGGGGUUUGUCUAGUUGAAUAUAUAUAUUUUUUAUUUAUGUAGAUGUUUACUACUCUUUUUUCCUUCAGCAUGGUUUUUUCCUUUCGAGUUUUCCUAGUAAAUUUUUAAAGAGGCAAUAGUUUAUAUCCCUUAGGAUUGUCAUCUUGGGUUUUGGUAUAGU